RNAcentral lists this ribosomal RNA (1383 nucleotides) under uncultured bacterium. RNAcentral describes it as "bacterial SSU rRNA". It matches the Rfam family "Bacterial small subunit ribosomal RNA", at positions 18 to 1395 of the family's 1533-position model. The record is from RNAcentral.
CCUGGCUCACGUUGAGCGCUAGCUACAGGCUUAACACAUGCAAGUCGAGGGGUAUCAGGAAGAAAGCUUGCUUUCUUUGCUGGCGACCGGCGCACGGGUGAGUAACACGUAUCCAACCUGCCCUUUACUCGGGGAUAGCCUUUCGAAAGAAAGAUUAAUACCCGAUAGUAUAAUGAUUCCGCAUGGUUUCAUUAUUAAAGGAUUCCGGUAAAGGAUGGGGAUGCGUUCCAUUAGGUUGUUGGUGAGGUAACGGCUCACCAAGCCUUCGAUGGAUAGGGGUUCUGAGAGGAAGGUCCCCCACAUUGGAACUGAGACACGGUCCAAACUCCUACGGGAGGCAGCAGUGAGGAAUAUUGGUCAAUGGGCGCGAGCCUGAACCAGCCAAGUAGCGUGAAGGAUGACUGCCCUAUGGGUUGUAAACUUCUUUUAUAUUAGAAUAAAGUGCAGUAUGUAUACUGUUUUGUAUGUAUAAUAUGAAUAAGGAUCGGCUAACUCCGUGCCAGCAGCCGCGGUAAUACGGAGGAUCCGAGCGUUAUCCGGAUUUAUUGGGUUUAAAGGGAGCGUAGGUGGACUGGUAAGUCAGUUGUGAAAGUUUGCGGCUCAACCGUAAAAUUGCAGUUGAUACUGUCAGUCUUGAGUACAGUAGAGGUGGGCGGAAUUCGUGGUGUAGCGGUGAAAUGCUUAGAUAUCACGAAGAACUCCGAUUGCGAAGGCAGCUCACUGGACUGCAACUGACACUGAUGCUCGAAAGUGUGGGUAUCAAACAGGAUUAGAUACCCUGGUAGUCCACACAGUAAACGAUGAAUACUCGCUGUUUGCGAUAUACAGUAAGCGGCCAAGCGAAAGCAUUAAGUAUUCCACCUGGGGAGUACGCCGGCAACGGUGAAACUCAAAGGAAUUGACGGGGGCCCGCACAAGCGGAGGAACAUGUGGUUUAAUUCGAUGAUACGCGAGGAACCUUACCCGGGCUUAAAUUGCAGUGGAAUGAUGUGGAAACAUGUCAGUGAGCAAUCACCGCUGUGAAGGUGCUGCAUGGUUGUCGUCAGCUCGUGCCGUGAGGUGUCGGCUUAAGUGCCAUAACGAGCGCAACCCUUAUCUUUAGUUACUAACAGGUCAUGCUGAGGACUCUAGAGAGACUGCCGUCGUAAGAUGUGAGGAAGGUGGGGAUGACGUCAAAUCAGCACGGCCCUUACGUCCGGGGCUACACACGUGUUACAAUGGGGGGUACAGAAGGCAGCUACCUGGUGACAGGAUGCUAAUCCCAAAAGCCUCUCUCAGUUCGGAUCGAAGUCUGCAACCCGACUUCGUGAAGCUGGAUUCGCUAGUAAUCGCGCAUCAGCCACGGCGCGGUGAAUACGUUCCCGGGCCUUGUACACACCGCCC